UAAAAAGUUAUUAAGGCAUUAAAUGGAUACUUAAGCAUUAAAACCAAAAUGGACGUUUUAUAACGAAAUAUUACAGGGAGUAGAUAUAAUAUGCUGAGAUCUGUAAUUCUCCAUAAAUUCGGAAAACCGAUUUCUUAAUGAUUAGAAAAGGUUUAAAUAUUUUUAAACACAAACUUGGUGAACUGAACCAUCUAAGUAACCAAAGUUUAAAUCAACCGAGAAGCUGUUAGUAGUGGCGAUCGAACGCAGUAAUAGAUUUAAGGAUUUAAAUUUUAUUUAAUAUUAGAAUAGCCAGAGAAGGUAACCUUUUAAAGGAUAGCCCUGUAAAGUAAAAUUUAAACCUUUAUUAAAGUAAAAUGAAACAAGUCAUGUUUUGUUUAAAUAUUGAGGGCCCACCCUCAAAAUCUAAAAGUUUUAAUGACUGAUAGUGAAAAGUACUGUAAAGGAAAAGUGAAAAAGACUUCGCGAAAGUGAAAAGAUUUUGAAAUUUAAUGCUGACAAUCUGUCAGAGCUUUUUGAAGUGAUGACGUACCUUUUGUAUAAUGGACCAACAAGUUUAUUCUAGUGGCGAGCUUAAAAUAAUAAAAUAUGUAGGCGUAAAGAAAUUAAGUUUUAAAUUGCUUGUUAGUCUCUAGAAUAAGACCCGAAACUAAGUGAUCUAACCAUGGACAGGUUGAAGAUUGGGCGGCAACGCCUAUUGGAGGACCGAACCCGUGUAUGUGGCAAAAUACUGGGAUGAUCUGUGGUUAGGAGUGAAAGGCUAAUCAAACUUAGAGAUAGCUGGUUUUCUGCGAAAUCUAUUUAAGUAGAGCGUUUAAAAGACUUUUAUAAAGGUAGAGCUCUCGAUAAGCAAUGGGGGCGUAAAGCUUUACUGAGUUUAUUGAAACUUCGAAUGUUAUUAAAAUGACUUUAAACAGACAGACUAUGAGUGCUAAGAUUCAUAGUCAAAAGGGAAACAGCCCAGAUUAUUGAUUAAGGCUCUUAAAAAUAAUUAAGUGAAAAAAUUGUGAAAAAAUGUUGACAACCGAAAGGUAGGCUUAGAAGCAGCCAUCCUUUAAAGAAAGCGUAAUAGCUCAUUGGUUUAGUUUUUUUGCAUUGAAAAUGUUUGGAACUAAAAUUAUUUGCCGAAAUUAUAGAUUUUAGAUUUAAAAUGGUAGCAGAACGUUCUGUAUAUCUAAGAAGUUUUAUAGUAAUAUAAGAUGGAGAUAUCAGAAAUGAUAAUGUUGGUAUGAGUAACGAUAAACAAUGUGUAAAACAUUGUCGCCUUAAGUUCAAGGUUUCCAAAACAAGGCUAAUCCGUUUUGGUAUUUAUAGUUAAUCGGUCCCUAAGAAAAAUACGAAAGUUUUUUUUAAUGGGAUAAAAAUAAUUUUUUUGUUAUUAAAAGUGACAAAGUGUAAAUAUUAUUUCUAUUUUAUGGUUUUAAAUAGAGGUUUUAUAGCACUUUCUAGAAAUAGCUUUUAUAAUAAUGAGUAACCGUACCCUAAACCGACACAGGUGAACAAGUUUAGUAAACUAAGGCGCUUGAGAGAAUUAUGUUGAAGGAACUCGGCAAAAUGACUCCGUAACUUCGGGAUAAGGAGUGACUUUAUAUAGGCAACUAUGUAAAGUUGUCACAAAAUCGGGGACAGCGACUGUUUAACAAAAACACAGGUCUCUGCUAAUUCGUAAGAAGAUGUAUUGAGACUGACGCCUGCCCAGUGCUGCAAGAUUAAAGGAAGAGGUCUUUUGGCUUUGACCCUAACUCCCAGUAAACGGCGGCUGUAACUCUGACGGUCCUAAGGUAGCGAAAUUCCUUGGCAUUUAAUUGGUGUCCUGCAUGAAUGGCGUAACGACUGUCCCACUGUCUCCAACAUAAACUCAGUGAAAUUGAAUUGUUCGUGAAGAUGCGAACUUCUUGCGGCUAGACGGAAAGACCCCGUGCACCUUUACUAUAGUUAUACAUUGUAAUAAAUUUUUUUUUGUGUAGAAUAAGUGGGAAGUUGUUAAUUAUAUAGUUACUUGCGCUAGCAAGUAAAGUAAACAUCGUUGAAAUACCACUCUAAAAAUUUUUUAUUACUUAUUUAUUAAGACAUUGUAUAAUGGGUAGUUUGACUGGGGCGGUCGCCUCCUAAAGAGUAACGGAGGCGUGCAAAGGUAAACUUAAGUUGAACUAGAACAACUUUAAAGCAUAAUAGUAUAUGUUUGCCUGAUUGUAAGAUUGACAAAUCAAGCAAGGACGAAAGUCGGUUAUAGUGAUCCGGUGAUUCUGAGUGGAAAAGAUCACCGCUCAACGAAUAAAAGGUACGCCGGGGAUAACAGGCUAAUCACCCUCUAGAGACCCUAUCGACGGGGUGGUUUGGCACCUCGAUGUUGGAUUAUCGCAUCCUGGAGCUGUAGGCGGUUCCAAGGGUUUGGCUGUUCGCCAAUGAAGGCGGUACAUGAUCUGAGUUCAGAACGUUGUGAAACAGUUUGGUCCCUAUCUACCGCAAGUGUUAAAAAUUGAGAGGACCAGACCUCAGUACGAGAGGACCGGGAAUAGUAGAUCUCUGGUGCAUCGAUUGUUAUACCAAUAGCAUAGUCGAGUAGCUACAUCUAUAAUAAAUAAUCACUGAAAGCAUCUAAGUGAGAAAUUAACCUCGAUACAAAUUUUUUUAAAAAUGUAAUAGAUGAUUACAUUGAUAGGCUUGGUGUGUAAGAAUUGUAAGAUUUUUAGCUAACAAGUACUAAAAAUAAAUUUUAUAAACUUUUUA
RNAcentral lists this ribosomal RNA (2730 nucleotides) under Nitzschia alba. Its description in RNAcentral is "LSU rRNA". It matches the Rfam family "Bacterial large subunit ribosomal RNA". Lineage: Eukaryota; Bacillariophyta; Bacillariophyceae; Bacillariales; Bacillariaceae. The record is from RNAcentral.